RNAcentral lists this long non-coding RNA (2090 nucleotides) under Homo sapiens (human). RNAcentral describes it as "long non-coding RNA NONHSAT216707.1". The record is from RNAcentral. Lineage: Eukaryota; Metazoa; Chordata; Mammalia; Primates; Hominidae.
UAGAUCCAUCUAAACAUGCUUGAAAAUACACAACGUAAACCAUCUCCCUUGUUACCUUGGAAAGCAGUAAGGAUUCUAUGCAGGUUGUGCUAAGGAGAUAUUUAAGAAAAUUUUUUUCCAUACUAAAUGUGUUCAUUUGAAAUACAGAGAUCAUCUUCUCAUUUCUAUAAAUGGGAUCUGACAGGAGAAGCUCCCAAAUAUAAGAAGUGUUUCUUCCACUGCAUUCAAUGGAAAAUGGAGCACGCUAAACAGUGCUAGUGAAACAGACAUUCGUGUGCACACGCGUGCGUGUGCUGUGCGUGCACAUGUGUGUAUUAUUCCACCUGCAAAAUGGAAAUUCUUAGAACACCUUUCAGUAUACAUUUCAAAUAAUAUCACAAUUAAUGACUGGAUUUCAGAAAAUGGCUUCUUUCCAGAUCAUUUCCACAUUCAGGGUAAAAAGUGUUCUUGAGCUUUCUGUGCCCUUGCAGGAGAUGAAGGCAUGCUUGUUCCCUAACAGCACAUUUUUGAGGGAAAUCCACAUUUGCAUCUCACUGUUGGCACCCACAUCUGGGAUGCCCCCACAGCUGCCCCGACAACCCAUCUCUGGGCUCUUGACUGCAGAGGCUCGGAAACGCCAUACCCUUGACCGCAGAGGCUCGGAAACGCCAUACCCUUGACCGCAGAGGCUCGGAAAUGCGAUACCCUUGACCGCAGAGGCUCGGAAAUGCCAUACCCUUGCUUGGCUGCCCUCCUGGUGCUGACGGUGCCUCCGAGAUGUGACCCCGCUCCAGCUGGUGAGUCUAUGGAGCACCUGCUCAGUGGCUUCUGAGCAGAGUCCGGCCUUCUCCAUACUGAUGACUGCUCUUCCUGGAGCCCGUGGCAGGUGGGGCUGCAAUGGCUGACCCACGGCCAGCUGAGAGUGAGAGCCAGCAUGCUCAGAUGCAUGACGCUGGCUUGGGUCCCAACGGGGCUGACCCCAACCCGGUGUGGACAACCUCUUCUGGCUCUCCUCUGCCCUGGUCCCAGUGCAGCUAACAGUGACCCAGCCAUGACAACCUCCUUUGCCCUGGUCCUCGUGUAGCUGACCCCAACCCAGUGUGGACAACCUCCUCUGGCUCUCCUCUGCCCUGGUCCCAGUGCAGCUGACCCUGACCCAGCCGGACCAACCACCUCCGGCUCUCGUCCACUUGGCUCUACCCGUCCUUUGCUAUAACCAGGACUGGGCAGGUUUGAAGGAUGUGCCACCAAAGGCUUCCCAAACAGAACACGAGGAGAAGGCAUCUUAAUAAGGCACCUCCCAUGAUUUGGACCUGCUGAUUCUAGGGCACUUCCAAGAAGUCUGUGAAAGAACAGAGCAAGUGUGACGGGCAGGGCUGUGAACCUCUGAGUGCUUCAGAUGUAAAAGUGUGGAAGACGUCGGGCUGUGAGUGUCACGCAGCAGAAAGGUGGAGGAGGCCUCUCAGGUCGGAAGUAACAUGGUGCGCAGAAGGCAGUUUGUAUGCACAGUGGAGCACAUGUGUUGAUGCCUGAAAGCCCACAUUGAGAUCCUGGCUCAACCUCUCGCCAACGGUGUCAUUUGGACAAAUCUCUUAAUCUAUGCAACGUACAAUGAGGACAGUAGUCACAGGACAUAACUUAUGGAGUUCUGUGAAUAUAAGUGGAAGCAAUGAUGGUGCCUGGCCUGCGGCUGGUGUCGGAGCAACAAGAAGACAUUCAUUGGAUGGUUUUGCAAAUCCCAAUCUGGAUCACAGUCUCCUGCGUGCUUGCAUGUAAUGUAGAUUCCUGGAUCACGGUCUUCCGCAUGCUAGUAUGUAAUAUAGAUUCCAGGAUCACGGUCUCCUGUGUGCUUGCAUGUAAUAUAGAUUCCUGUAUCACGAUGGGAAUCUCCUCAUCUUUGCCACCGGUGGGGUACCCUCCCCACUCAUCCUGAGGUACCUGGGAGCAGACAGACAUGAAACACGCAUCAACUUUGUCACUGAGAACGGCAGCAUCAGCUCCUUUUUGGAAACAAAUCCUCUACAAUUCCAUAAAGAUACACCUCUUUACAGUCAUUUAUCAGUUAAAGUCAGAUGUAUAAAAAUGCAUAUCCUAAAAGGAAAUGAAUAUAA